Molecule: transfer RNA, 68 nt
Filed under: Marmota monax (woodchuck)
Lineage: Eukaryota; Metazoa; Chordata; Mammalia; Rodentia; Sciuridae
Description: tRNA.Val
Source: RNAcentral
GGAUUGUAGCUCAGUGGCAAAUCGCUUGCCUCACAUGUGUGAGGCACUGGGUUCAAUCCUCAGCACCA